Molecule: ribosomal RNA, 498 nt
Filed under: uncultured Acidobacteriota bacterium
Lineage: Bacteria; Pseudomonadati; Acidobacteriota
Description: bacterial SSU rRNA
Rfam family: Bacterial small subunit ribosomal RNA
Source: RNAcentral
AGAGUUUGAUCCUGGCUCAGAAUCAACGCUGGCGGCGUGCCUAACACAUGCAAGUCGAACGAGAAAGUGGAGCAAUCCAUGAGUAAAGUGGCGACCGGGUGAGUAACACGUGACUAACCUACCCUCGAGUGGGGAAUAACUCCGGGAAACCGGAGCUAAUACCGCAUAACAUCUUCGGAGCGCAAGCUCUGUUGAUCAAAGGAGCAAUUCGCUUGAGGAGGGAGUCGCGGCUGAUUAGCUAGUUGGCGGGGUAAUGGCCCACCAAGGCUUAGAUCGGUAGCCGGCCUGAGAGGGCGCACGGCCACACUGGAACUGAAACACGGUCCAGACUCCUACGGGAGGCAGCAGUGGGGAAUUUUGCGCAAUGGGGGAAACCCUGACGCAGCAACGCCGCGUGGAGGAUGAAGUCCCUUGGGAUGUAAACUCCUUUCGACCGGGAAGAUGAUGACGGUACCGGUGGAAGAAGCACCGGCUAACUCUGUGCCAGCAGCCGCGGUA